Mercenaria mercenaria is the source of this 504-nucleotide long non-coding RNA. RefSeq lists it as uncharacterized. The transcript has 3 exons. The record is from RefSeq and is a predicted model, not a curated record. Lineage: Eukaryota; Metazoa; Mollusca; Bivalvia; Venerida; Veneridae.
AAAAUCUUUCAAACAGAAAAUUUACAUGUUUCGUAUUUCUUUUUGACUUGAUAUGUUAAAAUACGUUUGAAAUUCUUUGUCAUCUUCUCAAUGAAGCAGUCAAAUUUUUAAUAUAAUUCGUAAAAUAUUACAAGCUGUAAAUUUUAUCAAGUAACGUAGAAGUCGGAUAGUCCUAUAUAUUGUGAAGAGAAAAUAAUACAUUUGUAUCUACACAUGUUGUUAAGUUAAUCCCAAUACAUGAUAGUUUGCCAAUCCAAAUGGUUUAUGAGACAAAAGACAAUCAGGAAGAACUGAGAUCUAAGCCAUCUCAAUUUAAACACAUGUUGUGAAUCUCUGCGAUAAAUCAUUAUGAAAUUACAGAGAAGUAUAAAAUACAGUCAGCGAUCUUCAACUUCCAAAGCCUUCUGACAGUUGUGCUGUUGUUGAUAUGUACAUGUGCUUAUAUUAGAUCAAUAGCCCCAAGCCUUCUAGAUAAGAAUAAGGAAGGAUUGUUGGGAAUCUUCU